GCGAGGGUUGUAGCUGGCCUCCCUUUCGAGGCAUGUGCACGCCUGAGCUCUUAAAUCCACAACACACCUGUGAACCCACCGUAGGCCUUCGGGCUUAUGUAUCAUAUACUCUGAAUGUGUCAUAGAAUGUUCAUGUUGCCUUAAAACGCAAUCAAAUACAACUUUCAACAACGGAUCUCUUGGCUCUCGCAUCGAUGAAGAACGCAGCGAAAUGCGAUAAGUAAUGUGAAUUGCAGAUUUUCAGUGAAUCAUCGAAUCUUUGAACGCACCUUGCGCUCCUUGGUAUUCCGAGGAGCAUGCCUGUUUGAGUGUCAUUAAAUCCUCAACCCCACCGAUUUGCUUCGGGGGGAUUGGACUUGGAGCGUGCUGGCGAAGGUCGGCUCCUCUUUAAAUGCAUCAGCGGAGAAGAAAGCUCGUCCCAGUGUGAUAAUCCUGUUGCGCUGUGGUGGGGUGAAAAUUCCGCUUCCAACCGUCCUCCGGGACAAGACAUCUCAAUUUGACCUCAAAUCAGGUAGGACUACCCGCUGAACUUAAGCAUAUCAAUAAGCGGAGGAAAAGAAACUAACAAGGAUUCCCCUAGUAACUGCGAGUGAAGCGGGAAAAGCUCAAAUUUAAAAUCUGGCGGUCGCUCUGGCCGUCCGAGUUGUAAUCUGGAGAAGUGUUUUCCGCGUCGGACCGUGUACAAGUCUUCUGGAACGGAGCGUCAUAGAGGGUGAGAAUCCCGUCUCUGACACGGACUGCCGAUGCUUUAUGUGAUACGCUCUCGAAGAGUCGAGUUGUUUGGGAAUGCAGCUCANAAUGGGUGGUAAAUUCCAUCUAAAGCUNAAUAUUGGCGAGAGANCGAUAGCGAACAAGUACCGUGAGGGAAAGAUGAAAAGCACUUUGGAAAGAGAGUUAAACAGUACGUGAAAUUGUUGAAAGGGAAACGUUUGAANUCAGUCNCGUUGGCCGGGNCUCNAC
Molecule: ribosomal RNA, 960 nt
Filed under: uncultured Amphinema
Lineage: Eukaryota; Fungi; Basidiomycota; Agaricomycetes; Atheliales; Atheliaceae
Description: eukaryotic LSU rRNA
Rfam family: Eukaryotic large subunit ribosomal RNA (bases 498-960)
Source: RNAcentral